UUUCUGUAGGUGAACCUGCGGAAGGAUCAUUCAUAAUAAAGUGUUUUAUGGCACUUUUUCAAAAUCCAUAUCCACCUUGUGUGCAAUGUUAGAUCUCGUCAAUCUUGGCGAGAUUUUUAUACAUCAACUCAUUCUUUAACUAAUUUGUCUGAAAAAUAUUAUGAAUACUUAAUUCAAAAUACAACUUUCAACAACGGAUCUCUUGGCUCUC
Molecule: unclassified non-coding RNA, 211 nt
Filed under: plant metagenome
Description: partial contains small subunit ribosomal RNA, internal transcribed spacer 1, and 5.8S ribosomal RNA
Source: RNAcentral